Molecule: non-coding RNA, 581 nt
Organism: Pogona vitticeps (central bearded dragon)
Lineage: Eukaryota; Metazoa; Chordata; Lepidosauria; Squamata; Agamidae
Source: RefSeq, a predicted model, not a curated record
CUAUCUUCGCCAGAAGGUGGAAGCGCUUUGGAAGUUUGAAUGGCGGAUCCGAGAGGGAGGAAUUAGGAUGGGCAGGAAUUUGCAAAGAGGUGUUUAGCCCUGGGUGUAGUAUGCGCGAGCAUGCCUAAAAACAGACUAAAACGGGAAGGGAAAAAUAAAACGCUUCUGACGCCUUUAGGACUAACAUACAUUUUAGUGUGAACUCAACAAGUAGAUACGGUAGUACUUGCGAGUCUUGCAGGUGCUACAAACCUGCCCUUCCCGUCUCUGCAAGUAUGUGGUUUUCAAAUGUAAUACGUUUGACGUCAAAGUGAAGACAACAUAGACAACACGAAAGGGAAAAGGCAACUUCUCCCCCACAUCCUCGACAUAUAGACCAGUACCCUGUGGGUUGACUCAAGGGGAGUAGAACCACUGAAUCUGCUGUUUAUGGUUUCUUCAGGACUCUUUGUUCUUCCUGCAUCAGACUAGCAAGUUACCCACAGAAAAAAAUCUUACUCAUGGUAUUCACAGUUCAGGAAAUUGUUCACAAAAGACAUCAGGAGGAUUCACUGGCUGACAGAAAAUUGGAAAAUGAACAC